This 254-nucleotide ribosomal RNA is filed under the name uncultured bacterium. Its description in RNAcentral is "partial 16S ribosomal RNA". It matches the Rfam family "Bacterial small subunit ribosomal RNA", at positions 524 to 776 of the family's 1533-position model. The record is from RNAcentral.
UACGUAGGGUGCAAGCGUUGUCCGGAAUUAUUGGGCGUAAAGAGCUCGUAGGUGGUUUGUCGCGUCUGCCGUGAGAACCCGAGGCUUAACCUCGUGGCUUGCGGUGGAUACGGGCAGACUAGAGGUAGGUAGGGGAGAACGGAAUUCCCGGUGUAGCGGUGAAAUGCGCAGAUAUCGGGAGGAACACCGGUGGCGAAGGCGGUUCUCUGGGCCUUACCUGACGCUGAGGAGCGAAAGCGUGGGGAGCGAACAGG